Molecule: non-coding RNA, 69 nt
Organism: Actinokineospora bangkokensis
Lineage: Bacteria; Bacillati; Actinomycetota; Actinomycetes; Pseudonocardiales; Pseudonocardiaceae
Rfam family: ASpks TB sRNA
Source: Rfam
CUUCACCGACCCCAGCCACAGCGGCCGCUCCCGGUCCUGGCCGUAGGUGGCCAGCAACGCCUGGGCCUC